GCCAGAUCAAAAACGGUAAAAUGUGUACGAUUGAUCACAGAUAGAGUUGUACAAGCUGUCAAAUUACUUUGUGGAAUAUUGUGCCCUGCCGCAUACAGUUUCAAAAAAUAUGCUUAAUGAGUGAUUCAGUGUACUUAGGAAACUCGUUGACCAUCUCAGCAGCCGUUCAAAUGGACCCUGGUAUCCCUGAAACCCACCAUCCUUGCGUCCCGAAUACUCUACUAAAUAACACAUAUUUGUUACUCAGUUUUAUUUUUAUCAAGUGUAGGUAAAAACAUGCCAACAAAACCGGAAAUGUGACGUCGCAAAAUGGGGUCGCUUCACGCUUCGGUAGAUGUUAACGUCCUCUAAAGAAACUUUACAAUGAAGUGAACCGUUCAGUUUCACACGGGCUUCAUCAGAUGUAUGUAUACGUGUACUGUUGGAACGGGUAUUGUGAUAGCUACUAAAUACUGGCAGCUUUGAAACUUUAAAAGGAAUUUGCGCCACAAUCUACAAUACGUACUUAUCUAUUUCCAGGAAAGCACGAAUCUUAAAAACAUGGCAGAAUAUUCUUGAUUUGUUCAAUGUUUCGAGAUAUUUGCACAAAUUUGUUGCUACCUUAAACUUUCAAUUACGUUGAUUUUGCUGACAAUAAAACUAAAACCAAACACUCGUAAGGUGUUAAAAAAAUCGAUUCGAGGAGGUUGUAGAUUUUGUUUCGCUGAUCACUGAUAUGUUAAUAACUCAAUUGCGCUAAAAGAUAUCGAUCGAUUACUUUAGUUAUGAUAAGGAUGGCACUAUGGGUAUAAAAUUCAAAGCAUUGAUGUAUACUCAUUCGAAAAUUUAUAGUUUCAUUUAAUGGGCAUAUCAAGAUAGCAACAAGAUUACUAGUUGGAAACUUUACCACAAUUGUAGUUCGGUUUGAUUUGGCUAACAAUUUGUAAUUCAAGGAUGUUUAUACGCUUUUAUUUGAUUAUACAUUAACGGGGUAUGGUAACUCAAGCUCUAAAUAAUCGUGUAUUCAUGUUCAUUGGGACACGACACGAAUACGAUACGACAUACCUUUCGUUCAGUUCAUUUUCGCAAUGAAAUUGACAGAAUAUAAUAUUUUUCCCAAAUCCCAUGCACUGAAUUUGCUUAUUUUAUUUAUAUAUUAAUGGAUUAUGCAAAGUCCCGCCUACAAUAUUUUUGCGUAUAAAGACGCCUUUUUAUGACGCGAUACGAAAACAUUUUGGACGGCGAAAGAGAAAACACUGCUGUUUGUAUCUUUUUUGUUUGUGAUUGCUAACGUGCUCCAGCACAGCAGUCGCUACAAAUAUGUUUUGCAUUUUGUAUAUACAUUUUUUUUGUCUGUUUAAUUUAACAUUAAAUUCUAAAUUUAAAUGUAUUUGUUUUUGGCUCCUUUUCUGUGAUUUGUCAGUUUUGUAAUUAUUUGAUGCUCGUAUAUAACUACCUUUUUUCGUUUCUUCUAUUACUUGUGUUAAAUAAACUGUUAGAUACAUUUUCUGAGGAUUUACUCACUACUCGUUAGCACCCCAACCCCAUUUAAACAGUCCGCUACAGCUCUUGAAAUAUUGUUCAUUCGUUUUAGGUAAAAUAGUGUUAGUUUUUUGUUCUUAUUUACUACCACUUAGUCUUCCUUAAUUCCUUUUUUCCCCAAAGUUAAACAUUCUACCGCCUUUCUGAAACUAAAAUUAUCCUUCGCCCGCUUUCUAACUGUAAAAUCUUUGAUGAGGUCAGAAUUUUCGACACAGAUUUUGCAGAAGCAUAAAAUUGUUAAGUUUAGAGGGUGUUGAACUUGGUAACGACCAUUUGAGUAUCUUAUAAAUUGAAGACCUAGUUUCUUGAUUUCGCGUUUUAUUAAAUAUUUACCGAAAACGCAAGCUUACGAAAACGAACCAACA
This is a long non-coding RNA of Hyposmocoma kahamanoa, 1886 nucleotides long. RefSeq lists it as uncharacterized. The record is from RefSeq and is a predicted model, not a curated record. Lineage: Eukaryota; Metazoa; Arthropoda; Insecta; Lepidoptera; Cosmopterigidae. The transcript is spliced from 3 exons.